RNAcentral lists this ribosomal RNA (463 nucleotides) under uncultured bacterium. RNAcentral's name for it is "partial 16S ribosomal RNA". It matches the Rfam family "Bacterial small subunit ribosomal RNA", at positions 28 to 507 of the family's 1533-position model. The record is from RNAcentral.
GACGAACGCUGGCGGCGUGCUUAACACAUGCAAGUCGAACGGAAAGGCCUUUUCGGAGGUACUCGAGUGGCGAACGGGUGAGUAACACGUGGGUGAUCUGCUCUGCACUCUGGGAUAAGCCUGGGAAACUGGGUCUAAUACCGGAUAGGACCGCACUUUAGUGUGUGUGGUGGAAAGUUUUUUCGGUGUAGGAUGAGCCCGCGGCCUAUCAGCUUGUUGGUGGGGUAAUGGCCUACCAAGGCGGCGACGGGUAGCCGGACUGAGAGGUUGGUCGGCCACAUUGGGACUGAGAUACGGCCCAGACUCCUACGGGAGGCAGCAGUGGGGAAUAUUGCACAAUGGGCGCAAGCCUGAUGCAGCGACGCCGCGUGGGGGAUGACGGCCUUCGGGUUGUAAACUCCUUUCGCCAGGGACGAAGCGUUUUGUGACGGUACCUGGAGAAGAAGCACCGGCUAACUACGUG